RNAcentral lists this ribosomal RNA (292 nucleotides) under uncultured bacterium. RNAcentral's name for it is "partial 16S ribosomal RNA". It matches the Rfam family "Bacterial small subunit ribosomal RNA", at positions 505 to 796 of the family's 1533-position model. The record is from RNAcentral.
GUGCCAGCCGCCGCGGUAAUACGGAGGGUGCAAGCGUUAUCCGGAUUCACUGGGUUUAAAGGGAGCGUAGGUGGGCUGGUAAGUCAGUGGUGAAAUCUCCGGGCUUAACUCGGAAACUGCCGUUGAUACUAUCAGUCUUGAAUGUUGUGGAGGUAAGCGGAAUAUGUCAUGUAGCGGUGAAAUGCUUAGAUAUGACAUAGAACACCGAUAGCGAAGGCAGCUUGCUACACAAUUAUUGACACUGAGGCUCGAAAGCGUGGGGAUCAAACAGGAUUAGAAACCCGGGUAGUCC